This is a non-coding RNA of Heterocephalus glaber (naked mole-rat), 3125 nucleotides long. The record is from RefSeq and is a predicted model, not a curated record. Lineage: Eukaryota; Metazoa; Chordata; Mammalia; Rodentia; Bathyergidae.
GGGCGGCCCCCAACAUCCUGUAUCUGUCGCUCUGUGGGCUUGUGUUAGGGCCUGACUGCUCUCCCCACAGCCACCCCUCCACCGUGGGGAAUCCAUCACCAUGAUCCGGGCCUGGGACAGUGGCUGGCCAUCCAGUCACAGGGGAGGGGUGGACAGUCCCUCUGCCUGGGCCUGGCCUUCACAGAAUCAGAUUCGGCUGAACCAGGAUGUGCUCUGGCAUUAGGGUGAUUUUCUCUUUUAACUUCCACAGAUCCAUCAAUUGUACAUUCAAGGUUUAAAAAAACCAAUGCAAAGGACCUCUGGGAAUUUUAUUAUGUACCUACCAAGAUAUUUGAAACCUGAAGAGGAAAAAUAAAAGCAAACAAAUAAAAAGCAAAGCAAAUAAAUAAAAUCAAUAAAAAUCAAUAAAAUCAAUCAAAUCAAUAAAAGCAAAGCAAAGGGGAAAGGGAAAAGUAAAUGGGCUGGAAGUAGACAGGGCGUAUCAUAGCCCUCAGGGCCUCUUCUGCACGUGGACUCCACCAACAGGGGUACAGCCCUAAACAGCAGUGCUGGUCCUCCAGAUGCCCGGGGACUGUGUGGUGCCCAAAUCAUGUCACCUUGACACCACGCAGUAGAGGGAACACUAGGAAGGCUGUAAACCCCAGCGCAGUCAGUAAGAAUGUAUCACUAUCCGCCUUCACUUGCAACAAAUGUAUCCUACCAGAGCCCUGUUCAUAACUGGAUGAAGGGGUGAGAGGAAGUAGAGAACUCCCUGCAUUCUGCUCCGUUUUUCUGUAAAGGUAAGCCUGCUUCAAAAGCUAAAAUCCAUUCCUUAAAAACAGAUCCCCUGCAUCCAAGUCCUUCCUGCCCCGUCCCCUCCCUUUAAAAUCUUGGAUUGAGAAAUGACAGGAUGACCGAGCCCCUGGAAACAUAAAUAAAUAUUGAAUAGAAGUCUGUUCAUCCCAACAGCAGCCUCAGUGCACGCUGAGGGUGACACUGGCCCUGCUGCGUGCACGGCCUCCUGUCCCCGAGGCACACAGCUCUCCACUUGCUGUCCCUUCCCCGAGUUCCACAAGGCCCUGCAAGGGUUAAGGACCUCACCUCGGGGUUGUGUCCUGUGAAGGUUGCUCAUUACCUUUCCCUUCACACUUCCAGGGCCAGGACUUCUUUCUCAGCCUGAGGUUAAUCUGAUUAGAGGUAAGGUGCUAAUAACUUAAAUGAAUGCCCUUAAAACAGCACCCGAUAAAAUCUGUGUGUAAACCUGGACUCCCCAAAGGCCAGCAGCUGGAAUGUCAGGCAUGUGGGUCGCUGGAGGAGCAGGCGGGAGGCCCUUCCCUGUCUGCCUGCUAAUCCCUCUGAUCGCACUGUAUCUGCGUGUGCAGUGCCACCUCGCCGUGACUCUUAGGAGUGCUUGUGAGUCUGACACAGUGCUCAGUACUUCGUAUACAGUGCGUCUCUCUGCUUUCACAACAACCAGGGAAGGGACCAUUGUCUCCGUUUCGCAAGGAGUAACUUCCUGCUGCUGCCAUGGAAAUGCUAAGUUGCUACCAAGUCUCCCGGCUUCAUCCUCAGGUGCAGCCCAGCCUGCAGCCCCUGCUCAGACAGAGUCUUGCCCAUACGAGACGUCAGACUCUGGGAACGAGUCCUGCUUCCUGUCCUCAGGAGGCCUCCCCUCAUGCCACCCCUCCUACCCAGCCAGACGUGGGAAUGCAUCUCAACUGGGAGCCUAUGGGUCUCUGAUACAAAGAUGCCUUUCCAAGCAGUGGCUUGAACAGGGUGGACCAAGGGGCAGCUGAUGGGGUGGGGAGUCUUCUAUCUCAUGAAAUGGAACUCAAGGCCCAGAGCCCCCACCUGCAGGGCAGAGGGCCCUUCCUCAGCUCAGCAAGGGCAUUCCCGGGGCUCCGGCCCUGCCCGGACACUCACUCCCCUGUGAUGAGCUUUCCCAGGAGUCCCUACCACAGGUUUACCCUCUCAUGCUGGGCCCCGAUUGGCUAAAGAGCCUCCCCCAUCUACCACCGGAAGUGUAGCGUGGGGCCUGGAGCCAUCCUUCUCUGCAGCAUAGGGAUGCAGUAGGUGGAGGAGAGGGAGGCUGGAGCUGGAGCAGUGGGCAGCCUCUGGCAUGUGCCUUUCCACAGAGCCCUUCCCUUCCAUCCUCCCACUUCCCCAGGCUCAAAGUCACACAUCUGUUAGACUCAGUGUUCACACGAGUCAUUAGCAUCCUCUUCCCUAGUGGACUAUAAACAUCAUAAGAGCGAAGAUGGUGCCUGGUUCUGUUAAUUACUGAAUUGCUGAUCCCUGGCAGAGCCUGAUGGGUAGUAGAUGCCCUAAAACAGUGAUGGAGAACCUUGGCACGCGUGCCACAGUGGGCUACUUAUAUCACUGAAAGCUCUGAAAGGUUCGCCAUCGCAGCUUUGAUAUCAGCAGAAUGAAUAAAUGAACUUGAGUGAACAGGGAGCAAACAUUAAGCUCUAUGAAAGUGUUUUCUUCGUUAAGGCAUUUCUAAUUAUCCAAUCUUGUAGGGAAAGAGGAAAAGGUAACAACUGAAUUUCUACAUAUUCAGGGAUCUGCAGACAGAUGGAAAGAAACGGGCACAGUGGGCUCCAGCUUGCCUAGAAGGCGCCCACAAAAUAGAGCACUGGACGGCCAUGGGCCAUGGGCCAUAAGCAAGAUGUCGACUGCUCCCUGGCCAGUCCGAAAGAGUCCCUUAGUUUUGGGUCCACUAUGCAGCGCUGGCUGCCUAACAUGAAGCUAGAGGCCCAGAAAGCCCUGGCUUCAUCAUUAGUAUCCCAGGCACAACUCGAAGGUGGGGGAUUAAUCCCUCUGACAGGCACAUGAUAUCUGGAAGCCUCUGGCAUACUUCUGCGGGAAAAGUCCUACCAGCAGGCCUCUAAAACUUUCCCUGAACGUCGGCGGUGACAAUGUUCAGCUCACAAAAAACUUCAGCGACGAUUUGCUAACCACUUCAGCUUGCACCUGGGACCUGGGGACUGAGGGGAGGGGGAGGCGAGACCCCCAGGACACAGCACAGACCAGAGGCAGAAAGAGGCCGGGGACCCAGGCUGCCACUCUGCACACAGCCCACUCAGCCUUCAGCAGGGCACAGCACAGAGGCCACAGUGGGAACAAGGAGCCCCCCACCCACCCCC